Molecule: non-coding RNA, 1388 nt
Organism: Polypterus senegalus (gray bichir)
Lineage: Eukaryota; Metazoa; Chordata; Cladistia; Polypteriformes; Polypteridae
Source: the annotation of a RefSeq genome assembly
GUCAGUUAAGCCUGUCUCUAAGACACAGUGGAGAUGGAUUUCUCACUUCUAUUUUUGAUGACCUUGUUUGUGAUGUUUGAAGGGUCCUGUGGAGAUAUCAUCAUGACUCAGUCUCCCUCAAGUCUCUCUGCACGGCCAGGAGAAACUGUCAGAUUAAAUUGUAAAGCCAGCAGCUCCAUUACCAGUAGCAGCUAUAACUACCUGGCCUGGUAUCAGCAGAAAGCAGGAGAAGCUCCAAAACUCCUGAUUUAUUUUGCAAGCACUCUGCAGACUGGGAUCUCAAGUCGCUUUAGUGGCAGUGGCUCAGGACUUGAUUAUAUGCUGACCAUCAGUAACGUACAGCCUGAAGAUGGAGGACAUUACUACUGUCAGCAGAGCUAUGACUGGCCUCUCACACAGUGACACAGAGCCGUACAAAAACUACCUUGACUUGUCUGUGCAGCUGCUGUUCUCAAUUUUACUGGUGAUAAGAGUGAAGUCAUAGGGUUGGCACACAAAAGAAAAAGAAAGAGAAACAGAGAACAGAAAGAGAGUCUUCUGAUCACAACAUGUUACAGAAAGGGCAACACAUGAGAAAAUGACCCAAUCCAGAAAACCUUUAGGGUAAAGAAAUAAUAUUCUGAAAUAUUUCUGUAUUACUAGCUGUGUUAGUUGGCUUUACCUGGAAAAUUUCAUAAGGCAAUGGAACUUAGUUAUAUUGUUGUUGGUUAUUUGAAUAUAUUGAAAGUACUUUGUAACUAAGUAAAUACUUUUCUGUGCACAGUAUUUGUAUUUUAUUUUUUUUAAAUAAAAAGCUAAUAUUACUAGCAGGAAGUGUGGCAUAGUGGUCAAGGCUUCGGACUUCUAACCUUGUGGUUCAAAUCCUGGUACUGACACUGUGUGACGAUGAGCCGGUCACUGCACCUUUAUGUCUUCUAAUUUGGAAAAAGAAAUUAAACCAACUGUACCUCAAAUGUUAUCAGUUGCCUUUAAUAAAAACACCAUAGAAAUAAGUAAUAAUAAUAUUAUCAGGUCACUGGAGCAGCAUACUCUUAAUAAUCCUAUACACAUUUGUUCAUGCAUUAAACAUUCCUGUAUUAGAUCAAUUUCUGCUUUCUGUAUUUAAACGUUAGGUAAUAAAAAGAUGCAAGGUUAUUUUUUAAAUUGUCCACAACUAUUUCUGCUAAUUUGUUUUUUCAAAUUCACAAAAGUUCAUUGUUUUGAAAAGAAUUGACGUAUCUCACAAUGAUACAGCUUUUUAAAUAUUGACAAAAAUGCAAUUGUUGUUGUAAUAGAAUCUAUUUCAAAGAUAAUUAUUCCUAUAUUUUUUGAAUUUGUCACUUGUUGCAUUGAUUGCCAAGGCGUUUUGCUUUGUCUGAACCAGAAUAUACAAUGUGCAAAGGUUCAAU